Caenorhabditis elegans is the source of this 283-nucleotide non-coding RNA. The record is from Ensembl. NCBI's taxonomy places the organism in Eukaryota, Metazoa, Nematoda, Chromadorea, Rhabditida, Rhabditidae.
UGCCGUCUUAAUCUUCUCCUCCUUACGCUUGCGCUCCUCACUUAUUCAUUCAACCAUCCAACGACCCAUUCACUCAUUCAUUCAGUCAGUUCUCGGUGGGAGGCCUUUCCCUCUGAACACAGAGAGACACAGAGUGAGCGCUCGCGGUGGUUUUCGGAAAGGAAGAUGAUUGUUUGUGUGUCAGAUAGAUAUGUGUGUGCGUAUGGCUGUUGACUCUUUCUCCUCCUUCCUACCUUCCUGUAGUUGAAUAAGUGCUAUUUCAGAGUUCAUCUCUAACAAAUUU